UACGAACCGUACGAACGUUAUUCGGAAUCACUGGGCUUAAAGGGUGCGUAGGCGGCGCUGAAAGUUGGGUGUGAAAUCCCUCGGCUUAACCGAGGAACUGCGCCCAAAACUACAGUGCUUGAGGGAGAUAGAGGUGAGCGGAACUUAGGGUGGAGCGGUGAAAUGCGUUGAUAUCCUAAGGAACGCCAGGGGCGAAAGCGGCUCACUGGGUCUCUUCUGACGCUGAGGCACGAAAGCUAGGGUAGCGAACGGG
This 253-nucleotide ribosomal RNA is filed under the name uncultured bacterium. RNAcentral describes it as "partial 16S ribosomal RNA". It matches the Rfam family "Bacterial small subunit ribosomal RNA", at positions 524 to 776 of the family's 1533-position model. The record is from RNAcentral.